RNAcentral lists this ribosomal RNA (241 nucleotides) under uncultured bacterium. Its description in RNAcentral is "partial 16S ribosomal RNA". It matches the Rfam family "Bacterial small subunit ribosomal RNA", at positions 796 to 1041 of the family's 1533-position model. The record is from RNAcentral.
CACGCAGUAAACGAUGAUAACUCGUUGUCGGCGAUACACAGUCGGUGACUAAGCGAAAGCGAUAAGUUAUCCACCUGGGGAGUACGUUCGCAAGAAUGAAACUCAAAGGAAUUGACGGGGGCCCGCACAAGCGGAGGAACAUGUGGUUUAAUUCGAUGAUACGCGAGGAACCUUACCCGGGCUUGAAAGUUAGUGACGAUACUUGAAAGAGUAUUUCCCUUCGGGGCACAAAACUAGGUGC